CUAGCCGUAAACGAUGGAUACUAGGCAUUGUGAGUAUCGACCCUCACAGUGUCGUAGCUAACGCGUUAAGUAUCCCGCCUGGGGAGUACGCGCGCAAGCGUGAAACUCAAAGGAAUUGACGGGGGCCCGCACAAGCGGUGGAGUAUGUGGUUUAAUUCGAUGCAACGCGAAGAACCUUACCAGGACUUGACAUGUCGCGAAUCUCAGGGAAACUUGAGAGUGCCUUCGGGAGCGCGAACACAGGUGGUGC
RNAcentral lists this ribosomal RNA (250 nucleotides) under uncultured Chroococcidiopsis sp. Its description in RNAcentral is "partial 16S ribosomal RNA". It matches the Rfam family "Bacterial small subunit ribosomal RNA", at positions 796 to 1044 of the family's 1533-position model. Lineage: Bacteria; Bacillati; Cyanobacteriota; Cyanophyceae; Chroococcidiopsidales; Chroococcidiopsidaceae. The record is from RNAcentral.